RNAcentral lists this ribosomal RNA (119 nucleotides) under Pteropus alecto (black flying fox). The record is from RNAcentral. Lineage: Eukaryota; Metazoa; Chordata; Mammalia; Chiroptera; Pteropodidae.
GUCUACAGCCACGCCACCCUGAACAAGCCCGAUCCCGGCUGAUCUCGGAAGCUAAGCAGGGUCGGGCCUGGUUAGUACUUGGAUGGGAGACCACCUAGGAAGACCAGGUGCUGUAGGCG